UAGGUAGGUUUCAUGUUGUUGGGU
RNAcentral lists this microRNA (24 nucleotides) under Gallus gallus (chicken). Its description in RNAcentral is "microRNA Ros-gga". Lineage: Eukaryota; Metazoa; Chordata; Aves; Galliformes; Phasianidae. The record is from RNAcentral.